UCUAGCUCAGCAUGACUCAUCAAGGCUCUCCCUAAUUGGGGCUCACAGGUCAUGUGACAGCACCUACCCAGGUGGGAGAAGAUAGAAGGUGCCAAGAGGUGGUGGGUUCUGCAGCUGGUGUGCAGGGCCAAGAGGAGCAACGGAGAUCUGAGCCUGUAGAUGUGAUAGAUCCCAAAGGAGCCGUGCGAAGGAGCCCGUGCUGCUGGAGGACUGCACCUUGCCAAAUCGUCUUGGCAGCCGCAUCCAUGCAGCCCAUCCAAGAGGGGGUUUUCCAGAAUGUUAUGGUCACAAAUCUUCCUAACUCUCAAGUCUGAUUGCAGUGUUUAUUUAAAACACUCCUCCUUUUAGCAGCUCUGUGUAAGCUACAGCGUGAGACAACUCAUUAUAGCUUGACAGAGGGGUAUGGACAUAUGUGCGCACCAGACUCACGUAUGAACGAACCUACAAAAGGAAUGGUGAGGCAAGAAAUAGUACAUCAAAGACAAGUGGGAGAGCAAGCAACUGUCAGACAUCUCAGCCUCCACAGAAGAGGAAUGGCACUGCUGUGGUUAGUCACAACUGUAGCUGCCCCAGCCUGCAGGGAUGAAGAAUCCCCAUUCCCAUGUGGUGGAUCCAGCAGUGAGGCAGAAGAUGUGGGAGCAAAGAGAGGUACCCAGGUGACCUCAGAACAAGCCAGAAGGGUGAAGCCUUCAUUUCUUCCCUUGGCAGGAUUGAACAGGCUGUGGUACGAACUGAGCUCAUCUCUCAGCCAGGAUUGUGUCUGCUCACAGGACCCCUCAGGUGUUCUCGGAGUGGCCUUUGCCUAUAGAUCAGCAUGCAGCAGUGUGGUGGAGAUGUGUCCCUCAGUGCCAUGUUCAUGCUUUUCUUGAAAACCUCCAGGGACGGUGACUCCACCACCUCCCUGGGAAAUGCUCUUUGCAUUUACGUUGGAGAAUGGAGAUUUGCAGGACCAAUGGAUACAACCAAGUGAGGACUGAAGGCUGCUGCAGUGGCAGCCACUGUGUGCUCAGAAAGCCGGUCCCUGGACACGGCAUGGUGACAUUUCCCAUUCAAUUGCAUGGGGACACUGCCACCGGUGGGAGCUGUUGCCAUGGCAAUGUGAUAAUUGUAGCACAUCCCAAGAGAGGUCCCUCUGCAGCAUCCCAAGAUUUCCCUUCGCCUCAUGCUAACGCCAGGGCUGCUCUUGAUCCUGUCAGCAGUAGCUGCGUGCGUUGCUAAAAAGACACAGAAAUAAAGCAAAUCUACCCAAAACAGGAGGCACCUGUUGGACGUGAGUGUGGAUUGUGCUUGGAGCAAAGCAGAGCUGGCAAGGGGGUGAGGAGCUGCCGUUGGUUUUGGGAAGUGAGAGCCUCGCCUCGCGUGGGUGUGACAGGACUGAGACACUUGGUCCCACAUACGGCACAGCCGUGGCUGUCACCAGCCCUGCUCUCCCCACUGCAGCACCUGCAAAUAAGAUCAGCCCAUGGCGGUGUCUGCCACUUUCUAGGUGCUGUGUUUUUUUUGGGGGGAAUGGUGGCUAUUUGAUGAAAGGUAGCGUUAAAAACUUCCUCUUGCAAAUGUCUAGAGCCUGUGACAAACACCCUGCUUAGAGACAUGGCGGGGCUGUGAGAGGGACGUUCUGGAGGUGGUCCUACGUGGUCUCCCUGCAUGAGCCCCCCUGGGUGUGUGAGAGCUGGCAGUGGAUGGGGACCUGCCCAGAUACUGUGCUGCUCCUUCCCAUGCAUCCAUGUGAACUGCAGGGCACACUGCUGGAUUUUGUGCUUUCCCAAGUUCUAGAAGUGCCCUUCAGCACUGAGGUUUAGAGCAAUACUUGGAGAGGGCUUCCUGUAGGUAUGUUUCCUGCCAGUGUGUUUUCUGUGACUGUUACCAUAUUUCAUGUAAAAUAGUCUGGUGCUUUGCAUGAGCACCAUCAGGGCUGAAAAAUCAGUGAGCAAGCUGGGAGGGCUGAGGCAGUGUUGUGUUUGCCUGGUGACCACCCCCAGCACUCUGAGCAUCCUUCCUUGGCCUUGCUCCUCAGUGACACUUUGAAUUGUGUGGUUUUUUUUCUGGAGCAUCUGUAUCAGCAUGAGCGUGCUGGUGUGCAUGGGAUGGGGACACAACUAAAGGCUGAAGCCACCUCAUUGAAUCAAGGGCACUGUAGAUGGAAUAAGCAGCAUUUGCUGAGAGCUGAACUAUAAGAGCUAUGUUUAGGCAAAAGCUUUAAAGCAGUCACAGUGUUAUUCUCUGUUACUUGAUGACGGCUUUGUUGUUAUAAGCUGGACUUUGCCAAUAACAUUAGCACACGUUGUGUGGUUCUGAAUGCUGGCUUAAUCUCAGAGAGAACUAAUCCAUUUCAAGAAGCAAAGUGUUGCUUUCACUGUAUGCUCUAAAUCAUCGCUUUCCCUUUUCUCAGGGUGAGAAUCUGAGCCUGCCACUGUGUAAUUUAAGUGACUAAGAUCGCUUUAUAUUGUCACCGUUGUCAGCAGUUCCAGUUUCCAUCAAAAUGAUACUUUGUGGUGUGGGGAAUUUAGGAUUCACAUUGUCAUGCUGGGUGCAAACUUCCAUGUUAAAAUACAGCUUAAUGCAGCGAAACGUUGUUCCAGCUCUCCCUGAAGCAGUCUACCCCAUUUGAGACUGGCCAGUACUGGGGAUGGAAAGGGCACGGGCAGCUGGAACCAGCCUGGAACUGUGAGGGAAACACCAGGAAUAGGUGUGCAGGAUCUGAGAGGUCACACCAGGGACUGGCAGGAUUUCCUUUGCCCAGUUGCACUCAGUCUGGCUUGGAGGCAGUUCUUUGUUUAUAAUUCUUUACGGAGGGAGGAACUGUGCACAGAGUGAAGAGUUGGGAUGGCAGUGCAAUCAGAGAUCUGCCCAUGCUUUGCUGCCUUCUCAUGCAGUUACUCUAGCUGCAAGAUUUCUGCUCUGCAAAUGGCAGCCACAGAGGAUACUGAAAAUGCUCCAGCUUAUUCAUAGAAAGCAGUGCCGCAGCAACUUGUCAUACAGAUGUCCCCACUGGAGAGAAAUCGCAGUAUGAGCUGAGCCCUGUCAGGAGCUGGGCUUUACAUCACCUGGCGCAACAAUGUGUGAAGCUGAGAACUUUAAUUAAUGGAGUUGGAGAACUGCCAGAAAGCACUGAAGAUGCUUGCCAGCAAUCAGCAGUGGGUCCUACAGCCUUCCUCUAUGUGUGUCACCUUCCUGGCGUGGCAGCGACUGGCAAAGGGGUCAUUCUCUGCCCACACUCCCCAGCUCCAGGCAGGGAUGCAGCAGUGCUCCCCUACCUGGUGGGAUGUCAGAUCAAUGGGGUCAUCUCCAUGGGGAAGACCUUGUAAGAGGCAGAAGUCAUAGUGUCCUAACAGCUUCACAAAAGCAGGUUCUUGGACUGCAGAGUGGUGGCAAAAUGCACCAGACCCAGUACCUCCAGCAUCAGCACAGGAUAAGUGGUCUGCUCCUCCUCUGGGUUUUGGUGGGCACACACCCCAUGGGAAAGGAUGUUUCUGCAGUGCCUGCAAACACAAGAAUUCAGCAAGCUUUUUCUCUCCACAAACCCUGUCGCUUUCUGCUGAUCAGCACUCCCGGGCUGUGGGGAAGGGAGCAUUUCUAGGUGGGUGUAUGCGAGAGUGGAGUUGGACCUGUGAUUCUUAAGUCAGCCUCAAAUGGGAAUCUGGAGGAGGAGGAGCACAAAUGGAGAUAACACUCCAGCUUGGCUUUGGAAAAUUUGCUUUUUCAUAGAAGACACUUUAUUUUACUCCUUUCCAUUUUUCCUAACUGAAUUUGCUGUUGCACGAACUUGAGGUCCGUUUGGAAACAGUCAGGUUUUACUCAAAGGAGGUGACUCACUGGCCUGAGAUGUCUCCAGGAAAUGAUACGAUGCUUCUUACAGCAUAGAAUAAAAGAGUAACCUUCCUGCCUGAGGGCACCUCUAAAAAACCAGACAAAAACUAAAGUCAGAAAUAUUUCAGUCAAAAAGCCUUGGCUUCGAGGUUUCCUUCCAACUUCUGUGCUGUGGUUCCUGGGGAAAAGGCUGACCUCUGAGGAUGGAGUCACUUGCAGCCAUGGAGAGGUUUGAAGGCUCUGUUCAGUCAGCUGAAAUGCUUCCUCCACACCUCUGCUGGAGAGGUCCCUAAAGGGCCGGCUCCUUGCUUAAGCAGAUGGAUUAAAAGGACUGAAAGCAGUCAUUGGUUGGGCUCCCUGAUGAAGGUGGAGAUGCGUGCUGGCAUGGAGGGAGCUGCUCUGGUGUUAGGUUGAUGUUUGUGAAAAGCUGAAGGAACCUGUCCAAUUGCUAAGCACUGCUUCUGGGAAGACUUAAAAAUAAAAAAUAAAAAAAAUAAAAAAAUCAAUUGAAAUCAUCCACUCAUCAGAGAAAGGAAAAAUUCAUAUUUGCAGAUCUCUGUGCAGCAUAGGAAGCUUUUAUAACAAACACAUGGAGCAUCCUUACAACCAAUGCUUUCUUGCUAGGACUCAAAACUAAAAAUAGUUUGCAGCCUACAACAAAUCCCAUCGACAGAGGAGAGAGUUUUUAAAGCUCAGUAUUUCUGUUUUGGAACCUUGCAUUAUAGAGGACGAUGUGACUUUUUCAUAUGGAAACACCAUUUAAUUAAGACUUAAACAGACGGUUAACAGGAAUGGUAUUGUAGGCUUCAUUGAAGUAAAAUCUAAAGGGCACAAUAAUAUUUCCACUUCACAGUGGCUUGUUUUGAUUCCUAGCAAUAAAUAAAUUAAUUUCACGUGUUGGAGGAAAACAUUUGCACUGUACAGUUCAUGUGUUGCUGCUUGUGUGUUAGGUGUAGAUCACAAAGCAGGUACAAACCUACACGUGGAGCAAAUUAUGCAAUACUUGAAAUCUAGUGAUAACUGCACAAAAGGGCAAAAAAAAAAUUCUAAUUCCCAUAACGAGAAAAAUCUCUUUGUGAGUUGUAAUCUCACCAUGUGCUAUACUCUGCACCUGCUCUUUGCACUUGCCUGCUUGCAGAAAACUCAUAGAAAGAGGAAAGUGACUGCAGUGUGUGUCUGUAGAUGGUGCUUAGUUACUUUUCCCCUACAGCAGAGCUCCGCUGAAGGCUUCACGUUUGAAAACAAGAAAGCGCUGUAUCUAAAUCAAAUUGAAAUGAAACUUCUGGAACUUCUUAAGGCGAAGCAUUAUUUUGAUAAGAAAACUUGCCUAUGAAAAGGGAGAGGCUGUGCUGGCCCCACAGCUCACCUCCUGAAGGUGAGAGCAGCCCCGCUGAGAUAAGUGCCCUAUUUCUGGGCAUGGCUCGGCAGCCUGUCUGCCUGCAGCCCCAAAAGAGGAUUCUGGGAGGCGAAGGUCACAGCAGAUAAAGCAUGGUAUUAGGAGCUGUCACACUCUCCAGCCUUGCUGCCACUGCUCUCUUCAUUCUCACUUGUGGGUCAUGCACAAACCCCAGUUCAGGAGUUACUCUGCUCCAGCAAGAGUGCUUUAGGCAUUUGUUACAUCCCCAGGGGUGGAAAUGCAUGUCCAAAAGAUGGUGCUGAAAGGGCCCUGCAGAUCGUCAGCAGAGCUGGGAACGUGAGCCAGGGCUGUGGCUUUUCAGGGAAAUACACCUAGAAAUAUAACAAUGGGGGCAAGCAUCACUAGAGACAUCCCAUUUAUAAUUAGUGCAUUGCUAAUGAUAGGAAGGCUUUCCCUGCGCGAGACGUAAUGUCAUUAAACUUAAACCUGGCAAACAUCAGUUAGUGGAAACAAAAUUAGCCUUGUCUGGGAAUACCAGCUCCUGCCUCAAAGUGCUAAUUUCCCCAAACAUACAGGCAGCAACCUCAGAAACUGUAAUUAGAAAACACUGCCAGGAGAUUCUUUCACCCACAAAGGCCCAAGCUCAUAAGUUUCUCCUAUCGCCCCACAGCUUGGCAUGUUUAACGGCCUCAUUGCUCAAAGUGAUAACAAGACCGUGUUGGAUUUAAUGUGGGACCAUAGAAGUCUGAUGGAAAAUUAACAGCAUCAAAUUGCAUCUCUUGCUUGGUUCUUAGGGUUGGCUGGAUGUGCUUUUUGUCUUGAUUGGUUGUUCCAACCAUGUUGUCACCUACUGCCCUGUCCUUGUGUGAUCUUCCUGCAUUGUCCUGUUGUCAUUCCCUAGCUUGC
This is a long non-coding RNA of Numida meleagris (helmeted guineafowl), 6073 nucleotides long. RefSeq lists it as uncharacterized. Lineage: Eukaryota; Metazoa; Chordata; Aves; Galliformes; Numididae. The record is from RefSeq and is a predicted model, not a curated record. The transcript is spliced from 3 exons.